ACGAAGAACCCGAGGGUUUCACCCGCCGUCGCACCUCCGUCCCUCCGCCGCCGCCGCCGCGCCCCCGUCCCUCCGUCACCGUCGUCCCUCCACUCUGCGGUGCCCGUCCUCCAUCCGCGGUCACCAAAUCCGAACGAGAUCCGCAACAUCCGCCGCAUCUCGCGCGACACCCAGCCGCAGCUGCUCGUCGGCCAUGCGGGGAGCACGGACGAGCUGCCCGUCGACGUCCAUCCCGCAGCCCCGUUGACGACGGUGCCCAGCCUCCUACACAGCGGGCGCCUCCUACUUGCCACAAGGGUGUGAACGGGAACAGCGAGUAUGCUACGCCGAAAAGCGAUACAGGGGCAUGAAGCAAGCGAGCAGGUGUGCGCAGCGACCUCCUACUGCACUAAUAGCCUUGACGGAGCACCGGGGGGCUCGACAGUGCAUGCCGCCCGCCGGUGGACGCCUGGAUGUGCGCGAUGGAGAUGAACCCCAUGUCAUCGCCUCUGUAGCCUGGACAGAGCUCCGCCAGUGCCGGUGAUGAACCCCACAUCUGUGCUGGUGAUGGCGCUCUCCAUCUACUUUCUCCACUGGCUAUCAGAGAGUAGAGUUCACAUUGUGGAUUUUUUUUCUUCAGAGAUGUGCUUCGGUCGUUGUUAGCUGUCGAAUUUGUGAUGCAAUCCAUCCCUAUGUCGAUGCCCAAUCAGCAGAACAAAGCAGCUGCCGCAAUUUAUCGAUUGGUUUCUUGGAGUGAUUCAAACAUAGGAAAGCCUGCUACUUGUGCAAGAAACGGGUUAAGAAAUUUCAGUUUUCUUGUAUUUCUCCGUACUGCGGACUUCACCGGAAUUAUGUCGGCCCGUGUAGCCAAGCCGAGAAGAGAACAAGUAGUACGUCUCUUCCUAGACAACCUGAAUCUGAACGACUACGACUGCUGUGUACCAAUCUGACUAUGCAAGUGCAAGUGCAACUACAUUGGUUGGAUGCAAGGAAGGCAGAAUCAUCCGUGUGAAGCCAAUAUGACAAGGCUCAGUCUGCACAAGAUGCAUAUGGAAACGCAAAUAUUUCCUCAUGCUCAGUGUAGAGUAUGCAAACUUCACACUGGAAAUAAAAGAUUGACAUGAGUUUCCUCGCUGGAAAGCGGAAAGAUUGACGCGCACAGUCCCAACACUGGAACCCGAAGGAAUUGACCUGCUAUAGGAAAUAGACCGACAUGGGGAGGACUGGAAGGGCGCGGAGGGGCACCGACGGUAGAGAGGGCGGAGCAGCAGCUCGAAGUGGGAUGCAUGCGUGUGUACAGAGGUGUUGCUUGCAUUUUCUGAACUUUUGGUGAUUUUUGUCAGGGACAAUCACUUGAGUGAUUGCAGUAAACGUACAGAUUAUAGAAUGCCAUUUCUUCUUCAAUAUCUCCUUGAAGUUCUGUACUAAAUACUAAGGUCUACAGGGCUGCACUUGGUCAUUCAACACUGAAGGUCAAUGUUGCACUAAGGCUGGUUGGGUUCUGAACAUGCAAUAAAAGGAAGAAAAGUUAGCAAGGAUUACAGAUCUUGCUUCAAGAAAAAUGUUGACUAAUUGUUUUGACGCAUCAUUAGCUCUGACAGGAAAAAGAAUCUGUAGGAAUUGCAGGAUUUCUUGAAUUACAUCAUUAGCAGAUGGCAAAGCCUUGAGGCUACCACUAGGAAUGAAGAAAAAAUGUGAAGAUGACUGGUUAAGGAAAUAGCAAGACUUGCAUAUUGGCAUGAAUU
Long non-coding RNA from Aegilops tauschii subsp. strangulata, 1724 nucleotides. RefSeq lists it as uncharacterized. NCBI's taxonomy places the organism in Eukaryota, Viridiplantae, Streptophyta, Magnoliopsida, Poales, Poaceae. The record is from RefSeq and is a predicted model, not a curated record.